RNAcentral lists this ribosomal RNA (253 nucleotides) under uncultured bacterium. RNAcentral's name for it is "partial 16S ribosomal RNA". It matches the Rfam family "Bacterial small subunit ribosomal RNA", at positions 524 to 776 of the family's 1533-position model. The record is from RNAcentral.
GACAGAGGUGCCGAGCGUUAGGCGGAAUCACUGGGCUUAAAGCGUGUGUAGGCGGAUUUGUAAGUACCUUGUGAAAUCCCACAGCUCAACUGUGGAACUGCUUGGUAUACUGCUUAUCUUGGGCCACUUAGGGGUUACCGGAACAAACGGUGGAGCGGUGAAAUGCGUAGAUAUCGUUUGGAACGCCAAUGGUGAAAACAGGUAACUGGGAGUGUGCCGACGCUGAGACACGAAAGCCAGGGGAGCGAACGGG